GCCCGGUUGGCUCAGUCGGUAGAGCGUGUGACUCUUAGUAUCUCGACACAGGGAAUAUAAUGGAAUCUCAAGGUCGCGAGUUCGAGCCUCGCAUCGGGCU
Non-coding RNA from Tirmania nivea, 100 nucleotides. NCBI's taxonomy places the organism in Eukaryota, Fungi, Ascomycota, Pezizomycetes, Pezizales, Pezizaceae. The record is from the annotation of a GenBank genome assembly.